Molecule: non-coding RNA, 111 nt
Filed under: Sphingopyxis indica
Lineage: Bacteria; Pseudomonadati; Pseudomonadota; Alphaproteobacteria; Sphingomonadales; Sphingopyxidaceae
Description: TPP sequence
Rfam family: TPP riboswitch aptamer (THI element)
About the family: Vitamin B(1) in its active form thiamin pyrophosphate (TPP) is an essential coenzyme that is synthesised by coupling of pyrimidine and thiazole moieties in bacteria.
Source: Rfam by way of RNAcentral
CCCGCAUCCCCGGGGAGCCUGUGUGCAGAAACAGGUUGAGAGCGGAACAGCCCGCGACCCGUCGAACCUGAUCCCGGUAAUACGGGCGGAGGGAGGGAGCGCGAUGGCACC